GAUGAACGCUGGCGGCGUGCCUAAUACAUGCAAGUCGAGCGAACAGACGAGGAGCUUGCUCCUCUGACGUUAGCGGCGGACGGGUGAGUAACACGUGGAUAACCUACCUAUAAUAGUGGGAUAACUUCGGGAAACCGGAUCUAAUACCGGAUAAUAUAUUGAACCGCAUGGUUCAAUAGUGAAAUACGGUUUUGCUGUCACUUAUAGAUGGAUCCGCGCCGCAUUAGCUAGUUGGUAAGGUAACGGCUUACCAAGGCGACGAUGCGUAGCCGACCUGAGAGGGUGAUCGGCCACACUGGAACUGAGACACGGUCCAGACUCCUACGGGAGGCAGCAGUAGGGAAUCUUCCGCAAUGGGCGAAAGCCUGACGGAGCAACGCCGCGUGAGUGAUGAAGGUCUUCGGAUCGUAAAACUCUGUUAUUAGGGAAGAACAAAUGUGUAAGUAACUAUGCACGUCUUGACGGUACCUAAUCAGAAAGCCACGGCUAACUACGUG
This 497-nucleotide ribosomal RNA is filed under the name uncultured bacterium. RNAcentral's name for it is "partial 16S ribosomal RNA". It matches the Rfam family "Bacterial small subunit ribosomal RNA", at positions 28 to 507 of the family's 1533-position model. The record is from RNAcentral.